RNAcentral lists this ribosomal RNA (466 nucleotides) under uncultured bacterium. Its description in RNAcentral is "partial 16S ribosomal RNA". It matches the Rfam family "Bacterial small subunit ribosomal RNA", at positions 28 to 507 of the family's 1533-position model. The record is from RNAcentral.
GAUGAACGCUGGCGGCGUGCUUAACACAUGCAAGUCGAACGGAAAGGCUCCUGCUUGCAGGGGUACUCGAGUGGCGAACGGGUGAGUAACACGUGGGUGAUCUGCCCUGCACUUCGGGAUAAGCCUGGGAAACUGGGUCUAAUACCGGAUAGGACGAUGGUUUGGAUGCCAUUGUGGAAAGUUUUUUCGGUGUGGGAUGAGCUCGCGGCCUAUCAGCUUGUUGGUGGGGUAAUGGCCUACCAAGGCGUCGACGGGUAGCCGGCCUGAGAGGGUGUACGGCCACAUUGGGACUGAGAUACGGCCCAGACUCCUACGGGAGGCAGCAGUGGGGAAUAUUGCACAAUAGGCGCAAGCCUGAUGCAGCGACGCCGCGUGGGGGAUGACGGCCUUCGGGUUGUAAACUCCUUUCGCUAGGGACGAAGCGCAAGUGACGGUACCUGGAGAAGAAGCACCGGCUAACUACGUG